GACGAACGCUGGCGGCAUGCCUAAUACAUGCAAGUCGAGCGAACAGAUGAAGUGCUUGCACUUCUGACGUUAGCGGCGAACGGGUGAGUAACACGUAAGGAAUCUACCUAUAAGCGGGGGAUAACAUUCGGAAACGGGUGCUAAUACCGCAUAAUAUCUUCUUCCGCAUGGAAGAAGAUUGAAAGACGGCUCUGCUGUCACUUAUAGAUGACCUUGCGGUGCAUUAGUUAGUUGGUGGGGUAACGGCCUACCAAGACGAUGAUGCAUAGCCGACCUGGGAGGGUGAUCGGCCACAUUGGGACUGAGACACGGCCCAAACUCCUACGGGAGGCAGCAGUAGGGAAUCUUCCGCAAUGGGCGAAAGCCUGACGGAGCAAUGCCGCGUGAGUGAAGAAGGCCUUCGGGUCGUAAAACUCUGUUAUAAGAGAAGAACAAAUUGUAGAGUAACUGCUACAGUCUUGACGGUAUCUUAUCAGAAAGCCACGGCUAACUACGUGCCAGCAGCCGCCGUAA
This 513-nucleotide ribosomal RNA is filed under the name uncultured bacterium. RNAcentral describes it as "partial 16S ribosomal RNA". It matches the Rfam family "Bacterial small subunit ribosomal RNA", at positions 28 to 523 of the family's 1533-position model. The record is from RNAcentral.